ACCUUAAAAAUCCGAUAAUUUUAUCCUAUCGCUUUUACAUACGCAAGUAAAUAAAUUUAGAGUAAGCCAAGCAUAAUUAAACCUUAUUCAUAUGGUGUUAAGAAAUUCUCAACUGAACGCGACAUUACAUUUGUCACACAAGUACAAAAACUACGUUGCUAAAAUUCAAGUUACAAAUCCUAAUUAAUCUCUAUUCAAAUGUAUACCUUAAUACAACUAGUGAAGUUCGAAUUUCGAGUGUUGCACGGGUUUAGUUACGUCUCUUCGUCUUCUAUGCUGUCCAUCACAAUGCUGCGUCACUCAGUCUUAUCUUGAAGCGCAAUGAAGAUUGCAGUGAUUUUUGUAUUCAUUAUUUUGGCGAUAUCACACUUCGGCUUUUCUGACACGAGAAGUUACCAUGAUACCUAUUUCGUUGGAGUUGUAAAGAGCCUAAGAACCAGCAGGGGAAGAAAACCGAUGUUAAAAGUGUUGCUUCUCAAAGGGAAAAAUAAGAAAAAAGUUGAUUUCCAUUCAAGCAACUGGAGCAAAAUGGAGUGGGUGGAUAGCAGAAGACGAAUAAUUCCAAUUAUUUUAAACAAAUAGAAUUAAAAAAAACAAA
Cydia fagiglandana is the source of this 598-nucleotide long non-coding RNA. RefSeq lists it as uncharacterized. Lineage: Eukaryota; Metazoa; Arthropoda; Insecta; Lepidoptera; Tortricidae. The transcript is spliced from 3 exons. The record is from RefSeq and is a predicted model, not a curated record.